RNAcentral lists this ribosomal RNA (790 nucleotides) under uncultured bacterium. RNAcentral's name for it is "bacterial SSU rRNA". It matches the Rfam family "Bacterial small subunit ribosomal RNA", at positions 8 to 798 of the family's 1533-position model. The record is from RNAcentral.
AGAGUUUGAUCAUGGCUCAGGAUGAACGCUAGCGGGAGGCCUAACACAUGCAAGCCGAGCGGUAUUGUUUCUUCGGAAAUGAGAGAGCGGCGUACGGGUGCGGAACACGUGUGCAACCUGCCUUUAUCUGGGGGAUAGCCUUUCGAAAGGAAGAUUAAUACUCCAUAAUAUAUUGAACGGCAUCGUUUAAUAUUGAAAGCUCCGGCGGAUAGAGAUGGGCACGCGCAAGAUUAGCUAGUUGGUGAGGUAACGGCUCACCAAGGCGAUGAUCUUUAGGGGGCCUGAGAGGGUGAUCCCCCACACUGGUACUGAGACACGGACCAGACUCCUACGGGAGGCAGCAGUGAGGAAUAUUGGUCAAUGGGUGCAAGCCUGAACCAGCCAUCCCGCGUGAAGGACGACUGCCCUAUGGGUUGUAAACUUCUUUUGUAUAGGGAUAAACCUACCCUCGUGAGGGUAGCUGAAGGUACUAUACGAAUAAGCACCGGCUAACUCCGUGCCAGCAGCCGCGGUAAUACGGAGGGUGCAAGCGUUAUCCGGAUUUAUUGGGUUUAAAGGGUCCGUAGGCGGACUUAUAAGUCAGUGGUGAAAGCCUGUCGCUUAACGAUAGAACUGCCAUUGAUACUGUAAGUCUUGAGUAUAUUUGAGGUAGCUGGAAUAAGUAGUGUAGCGGUGAAAUGCAUAGAUAUUACUUAGAACACCAAUUGCGAAGGCAGGUUACCAAGAUAUAACUGACGCCGAGGGACGAAAGCGUGGAGAGCGAACAGGAUUAGAUACCCCGGUAGUCCAA